CGAACGUGGGUAACCUGCCUUAUAGUGGGGGAUAGCCUUUCGAAAGGAAGAUUAAUACCGCAUAAGAUUGUAGUAUCGCAUGAUAUAGCAAUUAAAGGAGCAAUCCGCUAUAAGAUGGACCCGCGUCGCAUUAGCUAGUUGGUGAGGUGAUGGCUCACCAAGGCGACGAUGCGUAGCCGACCUGAGAGGGUGAUCGGCCACAUUGGGACUGAGACACGGCCCAGACUCCUACGGGAGGCAGCAUG
Molecule: ribosomal RNA, 245 nt
Filed under: uncultured bacterium
Lineage: Bacteria
Description: partial 16S ribosomal RNA
Rfam family: Bacterial small subunit ribosomal RNA
Source: RNAcentral